CCUACGGGAGGCUGCAGUGAGGAAUAUUGGUCAAUGGCCGGAAGGCUGAACCAGCCAUGCCGCGUGAAGGUCAGUGCCCUAUGGGUUGUAAACUUCUUUUAUAUGGGAAUAAAAUGUUCCACGUGUGGGAUUUUGUAUGUACCAUAUGAAUAAGGAUCGGCUAACUCCGUGCCAGCAGCCGCGGUAAUACGGAGGAUCCGAGCGUUUUCCGGAUUUAUUGGGUUUAAAGGGAGCGUAGGUGGGUUGUUAAGUCAGUUGUGAAAGUUUGCGGCUCAACCGUAAAAUUGCAGUUGAAACUGGCAGUCUUGAGUACAGUAGAGGUGGGCGGAAUUCGUGGUGUAGCGGUGAAAUGCGUAGAUAUCACGAAGAACUCCGAUUGCGAAGGCAGCUCACUGGACUGCAACUGACACUGAGGCUCGAAAGUGUGGGUAUCAAACAGGAUUAGAUACCCGAGUAGUC
RNAcentral lists this ribosomal RNA (459 nucleotides) under uncultured bacterium. RNAcentral describes it as "partial 16S ribosomal RNA". It matches the Rfam family "Bacterial small subunit ribosomal RNA", at positions 338 to 795 of the family's 1533-position model. The record is from RNAcentral.